UCUACAUCCUUCUUAAUACUUGGAAUGGAGAGUCUUCCUAAUAAAGAGAGAGAGAGAGAAACACAAACAAGGGGAAAGGCAGGCUCCCUGCUGAACAAGGAGCCCAACGUGGGACUUGAUCCGAGGACCCCAAGAUCAUGACCUGAGUUGAAGGCAGAUGCUUAACCGACUGAACCACCCAGGCAUCCC
Molecule: long non-coding RNA, 189 nt
Filed under: Mustela putorius furo (domestic ferret)
Lineage: Eukaryota; Metazoa; Chordata; Mammalia; Carnivora; Mustelidae
Description: lncRNA (ENSMPUG00000029843.1)
Source: RNAcentral